UACGGAGGGUGCGAGCGUUGUUCGGACUUAUUGGGCGUAAAGCGCGUGUAGGCGGUUUUUAAGUCUGAUGUGAAAGCCCUGGGCUCAACCCGGGAAGUGCAUUGGAAACUGGGAGACUUGAAUACGGGAGAGGGCAGUGGAAUUCCUGGUGUAGGAGUGAAAUCCGUAGAUAUCAGGAGGAACACCGGUGGCGAAGGCGGCUGCCUGGACCGAUAUUGACGCUGAG
Molecule: ribosomal RNA, 226 nt
Filed under: uncultured prokaryote
Description: partial 16S ribosomal RNA
Rfam family: Bacterial small subunit ribosomal RNA
Source: RNAcentral